Molecule: RNA transcript, 952 nt
Organism: Tripterygium wilfordii
Lineage: Eukaryota; Viridiplantae; Streptophyta; Magnoliopsida; Celastrales; Celastraceae
Gene name: preprotein translocase subunit SECE1
Exons: 2
Source: RefSeq, a predicted model, not a curated record
GAAGGUUGAAGGGGGCUUAACCCCAUUAAUAUCAUACCACUGAGUCACUGACUGUAGCCUCGUGAAAAGCCCAUCACAGUUCACAGAUGACAGAUCAAACCAAGAGUUGGGCUUUGUUUUUUACAGUACUGUAAUAAAACUAGCCCAAAAAAGGUGGGCCCACAGUUUGCCAAGAAUAAUGGGCUCGGCCCGGAAUAAUGCGUAUAAACGAAUGGUAUCAACGUCACUGUAAGCAUCGACCCCAAUCCACAAUCACACACGAACACAAAUGGCAAUGGCGGUCCCAAUAUCUCUGAAACUCCCGGGGUUCGCUUCUUCCCCUACACGUUCAAAGACAAUCACUGCAUUUUCUUCUGUAAAAUUCAAAUCUCAAUCUGUCAGUACCUUCUGUUUAGAACGAAAACACAGAGUUCUCGUCUGCAAGGCCGUUGAGGAGAGCCAAGAAGAGAGCGCGAGGCCAGAGGUCUUGACCGGAAAGAAGUCGCCGAAGAGUCAACCCGUUGAGUCGAGCGAGUUGGGAGAGGAGAUCAAGAAGGCAAUGAAAGAGAGGAAAGAGAAGGAAGGGGAAGGGGAUUUGUGGAGCGGAGUAGCUGAGGAGAUUAGGGAGAUCGAGUGGCCGGCGUUUGGGAAGGUUAUGGGGACCACGGGGGUUGUGUUGGGGAUUAUUGCGGGAUCGAGUGUGGUCUUGCUCACUGUAAAUGCUGUCUUGGCCGAGCUCUCCGAUAGGGUUUUCGCUGGUAAGGGCGUUCAGGACUUCUUUGGCUAAUGGAUGCACCAAGCUUAUCAUCAAAGCAAUGUCAGAUUGUCAUUUUCUUGUAUAUCAACGAUAUUGUCCGCUUUGAGUUCCAAGAACACUUUGAAUUUACCGAUUCCCGUAACAAUAUUGUCUCCGUAAAUAGAUUAGAUCCACACAACUUUGUUCUUCCUGCGUCUUGCCACUUGAUGGUACUUA